ACCUAAUUUUAAAACCUCCCGUCUCCAAAGCAGGAAGGAUACACCUGAAACUAACACUACUGGGCUAAGACAGGGUGAAAAGGAGAGGAGGAUGAGAUGGGGAGGGGGGAUGAGGAAGGACAAUACUUCUCUGGGAGUACUUUUAGGUACCACUUUGACUCUUAGAACCAGAGCGAUAGUCCACAUACGCCAAAUUAAAUAAAUAACUCUAGUCAACUAGGAUUGCAAGGAGGGGGGGGCAGGUGGGGUGAAAAACACAAACAAAACAAAUUAACCGGACUACAUUAUAAGUGAGUAACGUAACUGCAUUGAAAGGGUGGGGGAUGAAAGAAUUAAACUGAAGAACGUUGGAAAAUAGUAUUUUGACUGGAUGCUGUAAGGCUGAAGACAAAAAGAACUAUGCACAUAGUUUUCUAAGUAUUCAAUCUGUUUAUCAUAGGGACAUGU
Long non-coding RNA from Leopardus geoffroyi (Geoffroy's cat), 447 nucleotides. RefSeq lists it as uncharacterized. The record is from RefSeq and is a predicted model, not a curated record. The transcript is spliced from 3 exons. Lineage: Eukaryota; Metazoa; Chordata; Mammalia; Carnivora; Felidae.